Molecule: ribosomal RNA, 210 nt
Filed under: uncultured bacterium
Lineage: Bacteria
Description: partial 16S ribosomal RNA
Rfam family: Bacterial small subunit ribosomal RNA
Source: RNAcentral
AACGAACGCUGGCGGCGCGCCUAAUACAUGCAAGUCGAACGAGAAGCUGUAGCAAUACAGUUGUACAGUGGCGAACGGGUGAGGAAUACAUGGGUGACCUACCCUCGAGUGGGGAAGUAACCACGCCGAAACGGUUAGGUCUAAUAACCGCCGUACGCUUCCCACGUCUUACGGGUUGGGGAAGGAAAGACGAUGCCGUGGGUAGUCGCG